Molecule: transfer RNA, 71 nt
Filed under: Marmota monax (woodchuck)
Lineage: Eukaryota; Metazoa; Chordata; Mammalia; Rodentia; Sciuridae
Description: tRNA.Val
Rfam family: tRNA
About the family: Transfer RNA (tRNA) molecules are approximately 80 nucleotides in length. Their secondary structure includes four short double-helical elements and three loops (D, anti-codon, and T loops).
Source: RNAcentral
GAGGUUGUUGCUCAGUGGUAGAGCACUUGUCUCACAUGCAUGAGGCACUGGGUUCAAUCCUCAGCACCACA